UUACUUUCUAUAAUCAAACUUUUAUGUGUCAAAUCGUUUGAAAAAAUGGGAAAUAAUUCAAAAAGAGAAUUUAUACAUUUAUGGUAAUUCUCAGAAGUGCUUAGGCACGACAGGCAACUACUAUGAAGCAUCAACUAUAAACGAUCCAACAAUGAUGUGUUUGAAGAACUUAAGAACUUUUAAUCGAACAUAGCUAAAACAGACUGCAGCAAAUAGUUGAGAUACUUCAAGGGGCAACUCUUCGCAUAUGAUACGAGUAGCUGCUGCACGGAUUCCCAAAUGGAGCGCACAAUAAAAUUAAAGUUCGUAUGGCGAUAAAAAUAAAAAAUAAAUUAACCAACAGCGCAGCAACAAAGGCCGAGCCAUAAGAAAAAAUAUA
Long non-coding RNA from Drosophila virilis, 379 nucleotides. RefSeq lists it as uncharacterized. The record is from RefSeq and is a predicted model, not a curated record. NCBI's taxonomy places the organism in Eukaryota, Metazoa, Arthropoda, Insecta, Diptera, Drosophilidae.